CCUGAACGCUGGCGGCGUGGCUAAGACAUGCAAGUCGCACGCAUGCAGCAAUGCAUGAGUGGCGAACGGGUGAGUAAUGUAUCGCUAACGUACCCUGGACUCUGGGAUAGCCGCCCGAAAGGGCGGGUAAUACCAGAUGAGACCACGAACAGGCAUCUGUUUGUGCUCAAAGGUCCGCCGGUCUGGGAGCGGGCGAUAUCGUAUCAGCUAGNGGUGCGGGUAACGGCCCACCAAGGCGACGACGCGUAGCCGGACUGAGAGGUCGGUCGGCCACAUCGGGACUGAGACACUGCCCGGACUCCGUAC
Molecule: ribosomal RNA, 306 nt
Filed under: uncultured bacterium
Lineage: Bacteria
Description: bacterial SSU rRNA
Rfam family: Bacterial small subunit ribosomal RNA
Source: RNAcentral